This 68-nucleotide transfer RNA is filed under the name Esmaeilius vladykovi. RNAcentral describes it as "tRNA-Ile". It matches the Rfam family "tRNA". Rfam says of the family: Transfer RNA (tRNA) molecules are approximately 80 nucleotides in length. The record is from RNAcentral. Lineage: Eukaryota; Metazoa; Chordata; Actinopteri; Cyprinodontiformes; Aphaniidae.
GGAGCCGUGCCUGAAAAAGGACCACUUUGAUAGAGUGAAUUAUGAGGGUUAAAAUCCCUCCGACUCCU